This 628-nucleotide ribosomal RNA is filed under the name uncultured bacterium. Its description in RNAcentral is "bacterial SSU rRNA". It matches the Rfam family "Bacterial small subunit ribosomal RNA", at positions 57 to 732 of the family's 1533-position model. The record is from RNAcentral.
GCAGUCGAACGAUGCUUUCGGGCAUAGUGGCGCACGGGUGCGUAACGCGUGGGAAUCUGCCCUUAGGUUCGGAAUAACCGUUGGAAACGACGGCUAAUACCGGAUGAUAUCGCGAGAUCAAAGAUUUAUCGCCUGAGGAUGAGCCCGCGUAAGAUUAGGUAGUUGGUGGGGUAAAGGCCUACCAAGCCGACGAUCUUUAGCUGGUCUGAGAGGAUGAUCAGCCACACUGGGACUGAGACACGGCCCAGACUCCUACGGGAGGCAGCAGUGGGGAAUAUUGGACAAUGGGCGCAAGCCUGAUCCAGCAAUGCCGCGUGAGUGAUGAAGGCCUUAGGGUUGUAAAGCUCUUUUACCCGGGAUGAUAAUGACAGUACCGGGAGAAUAAGCCCCGGCUAACUCCGUGCCAGCAGCCGCGGUAAUACGGAGGGGGCUAGCGUUGUUCGGAAUUACUGGGCGUAAAGCGCACGUAGGCGGCUUUGUAAGUUAGGGGUGAAAGCCUGGAGCUCAACUCCAGAAUUGCCUUUAAGACUGCAUCGCUUGAAUCCAGGAGAGGUGAGUGGAAUUCCGAGUGUAGAGGUGAAAUUCGUAGAUAUUCGGAAGAACACCAGUGGCGAAGGCGGCUCACUGG